This 253-nucleotide ribosomal RNA is filed under the name uncultured bacterium. RNAcentral's name for it is "partial 16S ribosomal RNA". It matches the Rfam family "Bacterial small subunit ribosomal RNA", at positions 524 to 776 of the family's 1533-position model. The record is from RNAcentral.
UACGGAGGGUGCAAACGUUGCUCGGAAUUAUUGGGCGUAAAGCGCACGUAGGCGGUCCGGCAAGUCGGGUGUGAAAGCCCUCGGCUUAACCGAGGAAGUGCAUUCGAAACUACUGGACUUGAAUACUGGAGAGGAUCGCGGAAUUCCCGGUGUAGAGGUGAAAUUCGUAGAUAUCGGGAGGAACACCAGUGGCGAAGGCGGCAUCCUGGACCGGCAUUGACGCUGAGGCGCGAAAGCUAGGGGAGCAAACGGG